UCAGGCGACUGGAUGAGCGCACCUAUCUGGGUGAGGAAAGUCCGGGCUCCGUGAGACAAGGGUGCCGUGUAACGCGCGGCGAAGGCGACUUCAGGGAAAGUGCCACAGAAAAGAACCGCCAAUGGUCAAACAUCGGUAAGGGUGAAAAGGUGCGGUAAGAGCGCACCGCAUCGCUGGUAACAGAGAUGGCAUAGGUAAACCCCACCCGGAGCAAGUCUAAAAGGAGCAUCAGCACAAGGAUGCCACGCAUCCUAUCGCUGGGGCAACGUCUCAAGCCUUAAUGCUCGGGUAAGACGCAACAAAGCACGUGCUCAUGCACAGCUUAAGAUAAAUGCUCAUCCCCGACAAAACCCGGCUUACAGGUCGCCUGACAAA
Molecule: RNase P RNA, 375 nt
Filed under: Alphaproteobacteria bacterium GM202ARS2
Lineage: Bacteria; Pseudomonadati; Pseudomonadota; Alphaproteobacteria
Description: RNase P RNA component class A
Rfam family: Bacterial RNase P class A
About the family: Ribonuclease P (RNase P) is a ubiquitous endoribonuclease, found in archaea, bacteria and eukarya as well as chloroplasts and mitochondria. Its best characterised activity is the generation of mature 5'-ends of tRNAs by cleaving the 5'-leader elements of precursor-tRNAs.
Source: RNAcentral